This is a small nuclear RNA of Physeter macrocephalus (sperm whale), 134 nucleotides long. NCBI's taxonomy places the organism in Eukaryota, Metazoa, Chordata, Mammalia, Artiodactyla, Physeteridae. The record is from Ensembl.
AAAAAGGGCUUCUGUCAUGAGUGACACACGUGGGGCAACUCGUUUGUUCUUUGUGCGGAAUCGAAACCAAGAGAUUUCGGAAGCAUAAUUUUUUGAUAAUUGGGCAGCCAGUGAUCAUUAUUCCUGGUGCCCCA